AUGGCGGAGGGGAAACACCCGUUCCCAUCCCGAACACGGAAGUUAAGCCCUCCAGCGCCGAUGGUAGUUGGGGCCAGCGCCCCUGCAAGAGUAGGUC
This 97-nucleotide ribosomal RNA is filed under the name Geobacillus sp. T6. The record is from RNAcentral. Lineage: Bacteria; Bacillati; Bacillota; Bacilli; Caryophanales; Anoxybacillaceae.